GUGGGGAAUCUUCCGCAAUGGACGAAAGUCUGACGGAGCGACGCCGCGUGAGUGAAGAAGGCCUUCGGGUCGUAAAGCUCUGUCAUCAGGGACGAACGGCCGGUGGAGUGGAAAGCCACCGGAUUGACGGUACCUGAGAAGGAAGCCACGGCUAACUACGUGCCAGCAGCCGCGGUAAUACGUAGGUGACAAGCGUUGUCCGGAAUUAUUGGGCGUAAAGCGCGCGCAGGUGGGAUCUUAAGUCCAUUUUUAAAGUUCGGAGCUCAACUCCGUGAUGGGAUGGAAACUGGGAUUCUUGAGUACCGGAGAGGAAAGCGGAAUUCCCCGUGUAGCGGUGAAAUGCGUAGAUAUGGGGAGGAACACCAGUGGCGAAGGCGGCUUUCUGGACGGUGUCUGACACUGAGGCGCGAAAGCCAGGGGAGCGAACGGGAUUAGAUACCCGAGUAGUCC
This 450-nucleotide ribosomal RNA is filed under the name uncultured bacterium. RNAcentral describes it as "partial 16S ribosomal RNA". It matches the Rfam family "Bacterial small subunit ribosomal RNA", at positions 354 to 796 of the family's 1533-position model. The record is from RNAcentral.